Molecule: ribosomal RNA, 255 nt
Filed under: uncultured bacterium
Lineage: Bacteria
Description: partial 16S ribosomal RNA
Rfam family: Bacterial small subunit ribosomal RNA
Source: RNAcentral
UACGUAGGGUGCAAGCGUUGUCCGGAAUUAUUGGGCGUAAAGAGCUCGUAGGCGGUUUGUCGCGUCUGCUGUGAAAACUCGGGGCUUAACUCCGGGCCUGCAGUGGGUACGGGCAGGACUAGAGUGCGGUAGGGGAGACUGGAAUUCCUGGUGUAGCGGUGAAAUGCGCAGAUAUCAGGAGGAACACCGGUGGCGAAGGCGGAUCUCUGGGCAGUAACUGACGCUGAGGAGGCGAAAGCGUGGGGAGCGAACAGG